CAUUCUCAUAAGUGGACUCGAGAAAAUGCCUCAUGCGUGUGCUGCUUGGGGCUGUACAAACCGCCGCACAAUUGAAAAUAGGUCUCGGGGAAUUACUUUUCACAGGUAAGACUGAAAAGUUGUUGACUGACACUGAUCUGGUUGUAUUUGGUCAUUAAAACAUUAUGUUCACACAACUUGACAGUAAUUGACCGUCGGAGUCAGACUAUUAAUAGCUAGUGAUAUCGCUAUUUAGCUGAAAGUCUAGGAAACCAGAAAUGUUACAUUCUUUCUUAUAUAGUUUUAGCGUAUGAUAAAUUCUGUAUCAUAAACUAAAUUGCCCGUAAUCGAGAUAUUCAUUUAUAUUGCCGUUUUUUUUUCUCAAAACUGACUCUUGUGCCGACCUACUCGUUUCGGCUAAGCAGCAUGAAUCUAAUUUAACGUUAACCGUUAGUAGUUGGCUAGCUGACAUUAGCUAACUCUUCUCACACAUUGAAGGUUUCCCAAAAACAAAGAGUUGAGGAGGCAGUGGGAAGUAGCUCUAAGAAGAGAAGGGUUUUCCGCAAGCGUGUCCUCCGUGCUAUGCAAUGAACACUUCAAGCCGGAGGACUUUGAGGACAGGUCAAAUUGUGAGGAUUAGGGAUGGAGCUAAACCAUCGAUCUUCAGCUUUCCCCCUCAUCUACAAAGACCUGUGGCAACCAGGAAAACAGGCCUCGAGGAAAGCUGAGGAGAGCUGGUCAGUGGACUGUUCUCAGAUUUUCCAAGAGAUCGAGCCUCCUCUGCCUAAUGUUGACCACCCCUAUGCAUUGCCUGCAUCUCCCACUGGUCUAAAGACCAGACUCUGUGAAGCCUUGGCUAGAGUGGAGAGUCUAGAGCACGAGUUGAGGAAUGUAAAGGACCGGGAACGGAGGGCAAAGAAGACUGUGUGCUUCUAGAGGAUCUGCAGGGAAAGAACCUCAUAAAUGAAGAUCUGAAAGAGAGACUCAGUUUCUACUCUGGUAAAAUGAAAAUAACAUCUUUUUAGACUCUG
Molecule: long non-coding RNA, 1010 nt
Filed under: Sinocyclocheilus anshuiensis
Lineage: Eukaryota; Metazoa; Chordata; Actinopteri; Cypriniformes; Cyprinidae
Description: lncRNA (ENSSANG00000031348.1)
Source: RNAcentral